AUGAAGACCUUUCUCAUCCUUGCCCUCCUUGCUAUCGUGGCGACCACCACCACAACUGCAGUUAGAGUUCCAGUGCCACAAUUGCAGCCACAAAAUCCAUCUCAGCAACAACCACAAGAGCAAGUUCCAUUGGUGCAACAACAACAAUUUCUAGGGCAGCAACAACAACAUUUUCCAGGGCAACAACAACCAUUUCCACCACAACAGCCAUAUCCGCAGCCGCAACCAUUUCUGCCACAACUACCAUAUCCGCAGCCGCAACCAUUUCCACCACAACAAUCAUAUCCACAACCACAACCACAAUAUCCGCAACCACAACAACCAAUUUCGCAGCAACAAGCACAACUACAACAACAACAACAACAACAACAACAACAAAUCCUUCAACAAAUUCUGCAACAACAACUGAUUCCAUGCAGGGAUGUCGUCUUGCAACAACCCAACAUAGCACAUGCAAGCUCACAAGUAUCGCAACAAAGUUACCAACUGUUGCAACAAUUAUGUUGUCAGCAACUGUGGCAGACCCCCGAGCAGUCACGGUGCCAAGCCAUCCACAAUGUCAUUCAUGCUAUUAUUUU
Molecule: ribosomal RNA, 578 nt
Filed under: Triticum aestivum (bread wheat)
Lineage: Eukaryota; Viridiplantae; Streptophyta; Magnoliopsida; Poales; Poaceae
Description: partial small subunit ribosomal RNA
Source: RNAcentral